GAAGGAAGCAAGCUAUUUCCUUUCUGUAACUCCUGAAGCUUUGCAGAGCAUCAGCAAUUUAAUUUCUCCUGCUGACCUCCCACCACAUACACCAAUACAGGAAUAGGACAUCCAGCAUCUAAUGGGUCAGUUUCAGAGAAAACAUCUCACUCGCAGUUUCUUGUGAGAAAUUCAAAAAUUCACCAUUGUUUCUGCCAGGCUCAGCUGCUCCGUGGCUUCAGUGGAGCUUUUGUUCAGCCUGGACCAACCUGCCAGUGUCCAACAGUGGCUGUGAAAUAUGUCAUUGUAUUCCAUGAGAUGCUGCUCCAGCCAUGGACAAGCCAGUGUCACCCAGCCUUUCUUCCCUCACCCAGGAGCAACUGCAGGAUCUGCUCAGCUGUGAGGAACCAACAAGCUCAACAGUGGAAGUAAAUGAAGUUUAGCAGCAGGACAAUGAGGCUGAAAUCCACAGAGCUCCUCCUACUCUCUGCUGUUGCUCCUUCAUGGUGGAGCAGCCCUUGUGUUGGUACCACAUCCCAUCUCUCACCUCCAGCCCUGGCCUGUCUGAUGUGUUCCACAGCAGGCAGUGGUGAGAUUCACCUCUUUUAACUUAAGGCACCAACAGUGUGGGUGUCUGUGCCUGAGCCACUCUUUUAGAGGUGGUGGAGGGAGGAGGGCACUUGUAGGGCACAGCUGAGCUCAUCCUAAAAGGGAUCAUCUGAAAUGAGUCCUGCCCCUUUCUCUCCUCAACUGCAAAAAGACUCUGCAAUCAGCUCUCUCAUAGGUGUUUCUGCUGUGGGUGGUUGUAUCAGUCCUCUUCUGGCUCCAGCUCCUCCUUUCGUGUCCUUCUGGCUGGACAAGAAACCCAAGUAGUAAAUUCAGGCAGGCAGCAGACUCACACUGCAGCCUGGUCCCUGUCACAUCUGCCUUUGGGAGCCACCAUCCUCUUCAUCCCCUGGAAUAACACGGACUGAGUACUACAGGCAUCCCCUCACCCUCCCACAGGCACAGGAAUCAGGGGGUUGGAGCAGGAGGUGCAGUGGUGACUAAAUGCGACCUGACGAGAUCAUGAACAGGCCAACAACUUCCAGCUCAUCCUGGCCCUCCUGGUUUGGCAGCCCAGACAGUGUUAGAGACUUCAGCUUGUCAGAGUGGAUCUUGUAAUAGCUCUAAGUUAUGCUUGUCUCCUGGAAAAAGAAUGAACAGAAGAGAUUUGCAUCUGCCCUUUUGAAGAAUAAAAUAAACCACACCAGCCAAGCCAUUUUCACUUAAUUUCCCCUCCUCACUUUGAAGCCAGGAUGAUCACUUAGUGCCUAGAGUUGUUCUGAUCCACAUGAUGAUGUGGGCAAGACCAUUGCUCGUGUUUCCCCAGUCCCUCUGAUGUUUGUUGGUUUGUUGUGUUAUUGUUUGUUGUUUUUAUGCCAGCAUCCACGCAUCAGCCCCACCUAGCAGCCAGACCAUUGCAUGGGAUGUGCCUCCAGCUGCUCAGCAGCUUGAAGGCAAAAAGGCUGUUUGGCUGUGGCAUUGGCUUAUAGAAUUUCCUGAUUACCAGAAAGACUAGUUUUUGGAUUAAUUUUGUUCUGUCUUUUGAGGACAUUUCAGCAGUAGAUGCCUGAUUAGAAUACCUUUCCACCUGGACUCUGUCUUUACUCCUUCUUCAUCCUAUCUCUAGUGGCCAAGGGAUGAACAAGCCUAUUUCAUUAUGUUUGUUCUUCUAAACUUCAUCUUCUCUUUUCAUUUUGACUGUCUUUUGAGCAAUCAGAGAGGUUAUAUGUACUAAUGUGCUUUAAAGAGGAGGAAGCACCAUCCACGCCUCUGACCUGGUUCAUCUCAUGGGGUUGGAUGCCCAUUUCUGGCUGCUUCUCACUCUGCUGUUUGCUCCACUCUUGUGUCAGGGAGAUAAAUUGGGAACACAAACAGCAGCUGGGAUAAGCCCCAGUAACUCCAUUGUCUUUCCUCCCUGCACUCAUGUCCCUUUCACAGCCUUUUGAUGCUCCUUCAGCAACCAAAGCUACAUCUCCAUGCUCCACCAUGACUUUGGGUCCAGGCUUAUCCCCCCAGGGAUAAGGGGCUGAGAUCUGUCCCUGGCAGCACAUCAUAUAUUCCUGAGAAUGGUUACCCCAAAGCCAAAUAUUUCUAGAAAGCAGGAGGGUGACUCUUAUAUGUAUCUGGGAAUUUGUCAAAUUAUUCAGCAAAUGUCACUGAGCUACAGAGACACUGAUGGUCAGGCACAUUUGCUGGGAUUCAGA
Molecule: long non-coding RNA, 2228 nt
Organism: Passer domesticus (house sparrow)
Lineage: Eukaryota; Metazoa; Chordata; Aves; Passeriformes; Passeridae
Exons: 3
Source: RefSeq, a predicted model, not a curated record